CAAAAGGCAAAAUUGUUGAAAGACAAUGACGCAAAGCCACGGGCCUAAGGAGGAUUCUCUAAGGUGGCCGGGUUGCUA
RNAcentral lists this non-coding RNA (78 nucleotides) under uncultured Ferdinandcohnia sp. Its description in RNAcentral is "Cyclic di-GMP-I riboswitch". It matches the Rfam family "c-di-GMP-I riboswitch aptamer". From Rfam's summary of the family: GEMM was predicted in a large-scale screen for bacterial structured RNA regulatory elements. Lineage: Bacteria; Bacillati; Bacillota; Bacilli; Caryophanales; Bacillaceae. The record is from RNAcentral.